UAGAUGAGGCUGUUGAGUCUUUGAAUACUUCUCUUUUGAAUUGCCCUCCUGAUAGAACUUCUGCUGUUGCGAAGCUUAGGUCUCUUAUUGAUAUUACCUCACAGCAGCUUCCCUCCGCCUAGAUGACUUUAUUCUUGAUGGUGGAGAAGUAUUAUAUGUAAUGGAUGACACUCUACUUGAUGAUGUGUAAAGGACUGUGGAAUGCAUCUGGAUUCUUCACACUAAGCCAAGUAAAAGCAUCAUUAGUGGUGAAAAUUGAGAACAUUGUGCAUUUAUGUUGAUUCAGAGAGGCAUAUGAUUACUGCAUACUGUCUCUGAUAGUAAGUGCAUGUGUAACUGCUGAGUAAGUUCGUUUGAAUCUUAUAUGGAAUUUUGUGCAGUUAACAAUUUUGUGCAUGUGGUGUGGCGUGUAGUCACAAGAUUUAUCCCAACAAAUUACAAAGUUAGUGGUGAAACAUGUUCAAGUCUCUCCCUUGAGUCCCUACUAACCUUUCUGUGGUGUUUAUUUGGACAUAAUGAUGCUCUCGUGUUCAUCUGCACAAAGUUGUUGGUUUUUGGAGUACAGUUGGGACUAGGGGAGUAUAAUUGGAUUACGAGGUUUUGAAUGAAUUUAGGUCCUUAUUAAGUGCUGCAGAUUGCUGUCUUCUGUUGAACCAUUUGCAAAGGACUAUAUGUCCACACUGGAGUUUUGAUUCCUCUUGUGGCAGCCCCAAAUCCAGGGGCCAGGAUCAGGUGCCACGGGAAAAGCUAAACAGCCUGUAAAUUUUCCCAUAGCACCCGAUCCUGACCCCUGGAUUUGGGGCUACCACGCCUGGAAUGGUGCUGAGUGUAGGACCUAAACCAGGGAGGAACACAACUUUGAUCAAUGUCGCUGCCUGUCUUUGAAGCUGAAGAUCCUUUUGCGUGGAUGGUGGAAAAAUGAGGUAGGCAGACCACCGAGUUGGUUGAAGUAUCCUGGAGCUGGUGCAGCUACUAUGCAAACCAACAGGAUCUUGUGGUUAAUCAAGCUAUUAGGAGCUCCAACACAAGGGGAUUCUUUGUUUAGUUCAAUUAGUUCUGAAUGUGAAUUGUUGUAAUCUGAUUUAACAGAUGUUUCUUUAAUUUCUAUUGAACGAUCGACUAGUCAGAAGACUCAGAACACUCA
Daucus carota subsp. sativus is the source of this 1144-nucleotide long non-coding RNA. RefSeq lists it as uncharacterized. The transcript is spliced from 2 exons. NCBI's taxonomy places the organism in Eukaryota, Viridiplantae, Streptophyta, Magnoliopsida, Apiales, Apiaceae. The record is from RefSeq and is a predicted model, not a curated record.